GGGUUGUGAGGUUAAGCGACUAAGCGUACACGGUGGAUGCCCUGGCAGUCAGAGGCGAUGAAGGACGUGCUAAUCUGCGAUAAGCGUCGGUAAGGUGAUAUGAACCGUUAUAACCGGCGAUUUCCGAAUGGGGAAACCCAGUGUGUUUCGACACACUAUCAUUAACUGAAUCCAUAGGUUAAUGAGGCGAACCGGGGGAACUGAAACAUCUAAGUACCCCGAGGAAAAGAAAUCAACCGAGAUUCCCCCAGUAGCGGCGAGCGAACGGGGAGCAGCCCAGAGCCUGAAUCAGUAUGUGUGUUAGUGGAAGCGUCUGGAAAGGCGCGCGAUACAGGGUGACAGCCCCGUACACAAAAAUGCACAUGCUGUGAGCUCGAUGAGUAGGGCGGGACACGUGGUAUCCUGUCUGAAUAUGGGGGGACCAUCCUCCAAGGCUAAAUACUCCUGACUGACCGAUAGUGAACCAGUACCGUGAGGGAAAGGCGAAAAGAACCCCGGCGAGGGGAGUGAAAAAGAACCUGAAACCGUGU
Molecule: ribosomal RNA, 530 nt
Filed under: Escherichia coli
Lineage: Bacteria; Pseudomonadati; Pseudomonadota; Gammaproteobacteria; Enterobacterales; Enterobacteriaceae
Description: partial 23S ribosomal RNA
Rfam family: Bacterial large subunit ribosomal RNA
Source: RNAcentral